UUAGCAUAUCAAUAAGCGGAGGAAAAGAAACCAACAGGGAUUGCCCUAGUAACGGCGAGUGAAGCGGCAACAGCUCAAAUUUGAAAUCUGGCUUCGGCCCGAGUUGUAAUUUGCAGAGGAAGCUUUAGGCGCGGCACCUUCUGAGUCCCCUGGAACGGGGCGCCAUAGAGGGUGAGAGCCCCGUAUAGUUGGAUGCCUAGCCUGUGUAAAGCUCCUUCGACGAGUCGAGUAGUUUGGGAAUGCUGCUCAAAAUGGGAGGUAAAUUUCUUCUAAAGCUAAAUACCGGCCAGAGACCGAUAGCGCACAAGUAGAGUGAUCGAAAGAUGAAAAGCACUUUGAAAAGAGGGUUAAAUAGCACGUGAAAUUGUUGAAAGGGAAGCGCUUGUGACCAGACUUGCGCCGGGCGGAUCAUCCGGUGUUCUCACCGGUGCACUCCGCCCGGCUCAGGCCAGCAUCGGUUCUCGCGGGGGGAUAAAGGUCUCGGGAACGUAGCUCCUCCGGGAGUGUUAUAGCCCGGGGCGUAAUGCCCUCGCGGGGACCGAGGUUCGCGCAUCUGCAAGGAUGCUGGCGUAAUGGUCAUCAGCGACCCGUCUUGAAACACGGACCAAGGAGUCAAGGUUUUGCGCGAGUGUUUGGGUGUAAAACCCGCACGCGUAAUGAAAGUGAACGUAGGUGAGAGCUUCGGCGCAUCAUCGACCGAUCCUGAUGUUUUCGGAUGGAUUUGAGUAGGAGCGUUAAGCCUUGGACCCGAAAGAUGGUGAACUAUGCUUGGAUAGGGUGAAGCCAGAGGAAACUCUGGUGGAGGCUCGCAGCGGUUCUGACGUGCAAAUCGAUCGUCAAAUCUGAGCAUGGGGGCGAAAGACUAAUCGAACCAUCUAGUAGCUGGUUACCGCCGAA
Molecule: ribosomal RNA, 897 nt
Filed under: Chaetomium tenue
Lineage: Eukaryota; Fungi; Ascomycota; Sordariomycetes; Sordariales; Chaetomiaceae
Description: LSU rRNA
Rfam family: Eukaryotic large subunit ribosomal RNA
Source: RNAcentral